UAUUGUUCUCGAGAACAAUAGAAAUGGGUUUUUCCAGUUAUUUUAGAUAGACCUAUUGUUCCCGAGAACAAUAGGUCUAUUGAUAAAGGGUUUUUCCAGUUAUUUUUAGAUAGACCUAUUGUUCCCGAGAACAAUAGGUCUAUUGAUAAAGGGUUUUUCCAGUUAUUUUGUAGAUAGACCUAUUGUUCCCGAGAACAAUAGGUCUAUUGUUAAAGGGUUUUUCCAGUUAUUUUUAGAUAAAAUCUAUUGAUAUCCUCUGAGAUCAUGGGGGAAAUAGAUAAACAAAUAAACGAAAUUACUUAAAAAGUGAUUAAAUAGGUAAAAACGAAAGAAAGAAGGAAUUAUCUCCCUUUGCUUCAAGUUGAGAUUAAAGGCAUUGUGGGCUGAUCCUCGGAAUAUUCCAGCCAUUGACUGCGGAGGAAUACUACGCCGCCAGACGAUGUGGAGAUGGGUAACAUUGAAGAAGACCCUUGCGUAAAGUCUGCGCACUCCACCCCUUCAGACGGACCCCCCCCCCCUCCCAUCCCCGCCACAGUCACCCAUCCAAACGAGAUCAAUGACUGCUCAAAAGUAAUCCAGAUCAUGAGUGUAACCUUGAAACGAAAUACAAAAUUAAUGAAAAAA
Molecule: long non-coding RNA, 624 nt
Organism: Ostrea edulis (European flat oyster)
Lineage: Eukaryota; Metazoa; Mollusca; Bivalvia; Ostreida; Ostreidae
Exons: 3
Source: RefSeq, a predicted model, not a curated record